RNAcentral lists this ribosomal RNA (235 nucleotides) under uncultured bacterium. RNAcentral's name for it is "partial 16S ribosomal RNA". It matches the Rfam family "Bacterial small subunit ribosomal RNA", at positions 99 to 334 of the family's 1533-position model. The record is from RNAcentral.
CGGACGGGUGAGUAACGCGUGGGUAACCUGCCUCACACUGGGGGAUAACAGUUAGAAAUAGCUGCUAAUACCGCAUAAGCGCACAGUUCCGCAUGGAACAGUGUGAAAAACUCCGGUGGUGUGAGAUGGACCCGCGUUGGAUUAGCUGGUUGGUGAGGUAACGGCCCACCAAGGCGACGAUCCAUAGCCGACCUGAGAGGGUGACCGGCCACAUUGGGACUGAGACACGGCCCAA